This 540-nucleotide ribosomal RNA is filed under the name uncultured bacterium. RNAcentral describes it as "bacterial SSU rRNA". It matches the Rfam family "Bacterial small subunit ribosomal RNA", at positions 8 to 526 of the family's 1533-position model. The record is from RNAcentral.
AGAGUUUGAUCCUGGCUCAGAACGAACGCUGGCGGCGUGCUUAACACAUGCAAGUCGAACGUGAUCCAGAGCUUGCUCUGGUGAAAGUGGCGCACGGGUGAGUAACGCGUGGAUAACCUGCCCUGGUAUCUGGGAUAACAUCUCGAAAGGGGUGCUAAUACCGGAUAAGCCUACGGGCUCCUCGGAGUCUGCAGGAAAAGGAGGCCUCUAUUUAUAAGCUUCCGUAUCAGGAUGGGUCCGCGUACCAUUAGCUAGUUGGUGGGGUAAUGGCCUACCAAGGCGACGAUGGUUAGCUGGUCUGAGAGGAUGAUCAGCCUCACUGGAACUGAGACACGGUCCAGACUCCUACGGGAGGCAGCAGUGGGGAAUUUUGCGCAAUGGGGGAAACCCUGACGCACCAACGCCGCGUGAGUGAUGAAGGCUUUCGGGUCGUAAAGCUCUGUCAGAGGGGAAGAAAUGGGUCUGGCUAAUAUCCAGAUUUCUUGACGGUACCCUCAAAGGAAGCACCGGCUAACUCCGUGCCAGCAGCCGCGGUAAUAC